UACAUAAGCAAUUUGCCCAUCGGCCUGGGAUAACAGUUGGAAACGACUGCUAAUACCGGAUAGGUGAUGAAGGGGCAUCUCUUGAUCAUUAAAGUUGGGAUACAACACGGAUGGAUGAGCUUAUGGCGUAUUAGCUAGUAGGUGAGGUAACGGCUCACCUAGGCGAUGAUACGUAGCCGACCUGAGAGGGUGACCGGCCACAUUGGGACUGAGACACGGCCCAA
RNAcentral lists this ribosomal RNA (224 nucleotides) under uncultured bacterium. RNAcentral describes it as "partial 16S ribosomal RNA". It matches the Rfam family "Bacterial small subunit ribosomal RNA", at positions 114 to 334 of the family's 1533-position model. The record is from RNAcentral.